Molecule: long non-coding RNA, 821 nt
Filed under: Jatropha curcas
Lineage: Eukaryota; Viridiplantae; Streptophyta; Magnoliopsida; Malpighiales; Euphorbiaceae
Description: long non-coding RNA (JCUR_LNC001971)
Source: RNAcentral
CACUUCUCUCCUUCAUGCCCAUGCAUUUCUCUUGUUCGACGAAAUGCUUGAAAGAAAUACGAUGGCUACAAUCAGCCAAGAAAGAGUGAACUGAUAUAGGACGGGUAGCAGCCAGGAAAGAGUGAACUGAUAUAGGACAGGGGCCGCGCGAACGUAGGCCCCCACUUCCACAAAUUAUGACGUAGGCUCUCCCAACUUGGGGAGACCUUAGACCGGCACCCUCCUAAGUGCAAUGGAGGUCACUAAUCUAGACCAUAGGCCUACUUGAUCGCCCAUUGAUCCCGUCCAGGUAAGUAUGUUUAUAAUGCUUUUGCUCUUCCUAUUUAUCUGCACAUGGACUGCCUCGCUUUUUGUCAAGCCUCGAUGUGGGAUUGUGUUAAGCGUAAAGAAGACGUGUUUUGGUUAUGAUCUGAGAUGUAGAGAGAUCGCAUAGAUCAGGCAAGUCGUCCUUGGCAAGAAAAUAACCUUUUUCUCUUCACGUUUAAGACACUCUUCCUUUCCUCAAAUGGCACUGCUCUUGUUGGCUAAGAUUAUAAAAUUUAUAAGUUCAAAGAUAUUUUUCUUCAUUUUGUAAAAAAAAAAAAAAAAUGCUUCUUAAAGAGGGAAAAGAGAAAUAUUAUGGGACCGUUGGGAAAGAAGAGAAGACCUAGUAUGAGAGAGCAGAGAUUGUGAAAUUGGCCAAGGUGGAUAAGGGUUACUGCAAAGCACAACCCAAAUUAAUUUGCUGGGAGCAGGCAAGUCAUGGCCAUCAAAUUAUGUUACAUAAACAAAAUUUCAAAUCUCUAUUCAUAGCCAAUCAAAGAAUAAAGAUUGAAAAUCAC